AAACAUAGCUAUAAGGUAGUUAUUUAUAGUUUUACCUGCUCAUGAUUUAGUUUAAAUUGCCGCGGUACUCUGACCGUGCUAAGGUAGCAUAAUCAGUUGUCUUUUAAUUGAAGUCUAGAAUGAAUGGGAAAACGAGGGUUUAACUGUCUCUUUAAUAAUAUCCUGAAGUUACUAAAUAGGUGAAAAGGCCUAUAGUAGAUAAAAGACGAGAAGACCCUUAGAAUUUUAAAAUAUAUUUUUGUUGGGGCAACGCUUAAUAAAUUUUACCAUUAGAGCUAUUAUAUGACGGUUAUCUCAUGAGCAAAUAAAUUACCUGAGGGAUAACAGCAUAAUCUAUUAAUUAGGAUUGUGACCUCGAUGUUGGACUAGGAAAGAUAUGGGCUAGUCGUCUUUAUUUGUUAGUUCUGUUCGAACUUUAUCUCCUACGUGAUC
RNAcentral lists this ribosomal RNA (432 nucleotides) under Odontoglaja guamensis. RNAcentral's name for it is "partial 16S ribosomal RNA". It matches the Rfam family "Bacterial large subunit ribosomal RNA", at positions 1811 to 2605 of the family's 2925-position model. Lineage: Eukaryota; Metazoa; Mollusca; Gastropoda; Cephalaspidea; Aglajidae. The record is from RNAcentral.